This 742-nucleotide ribosomal RNA is filed under the name uncultured bacterium. RNAcentral's name for it is "bacterial SSU rRNA". It matches the Rfam family "Bacterial small subunit ribosomal RNA", at positions 8 to 796 of the family's 1533-position model. The record is from RNAcentral.
AGAGUUUGAUCAUGGCUCAGAACGAACGCUGGCGGCAGGCUUAACACAUGCAAGUCGAACGAUGUAGCAAUACAUAGUGGCGCACGGGUGAGUAACGCGUGGGAACAUGCCUUUGAGUACGGGAUAGCCUCGGGAAACUGGGAUUAAUACCGUAUAUUCUCUACGGAGGAAAGAUUUAUCGCUCAAAGAUUGGCCCGCGUUAGAUUAGGUAGUUGGUGGGGUAAUGGCCUACCAAGCCUACGAUCUAUAGCUGGUCUGAGAGGACGACCAGCCACACUGGAACUGAGACACGGUCCAGACUCCUACGGGAGGCAGCAGUGGGGAAUAUUGGACAAUGGGCGAAAGCCUGAUCCAGCCAUGCCGCGUGAGUGAUGAAGGCCUUAGGGUUGUAAAGCUCUUUUGUCAGGGAAGAUGAUGACGGUACCUGAAGAAUAAGCACCGGCUAACUUCGUGCCAGCAGCCGCGGUAAUACGAAGGGUGCUAGCGUUGUUCGGAAUCACUGGGCGUAAAGCGCGCGUAGGCGGCUAUUCAAGUCAGGGGUGAAAUCCUGAGGCUCAACCUCAGAAUUGCCUUUGAAACUGUGUAGCUAGAGUGUCGGAGGGGAUAGCGGAAUUGCUAAUGUAGAGGUGAAAUUCGUAGAUAUUAGCAGGAACACCGGUGGCGAAGGCGGCUAUCUGGACGACAACUGACGCUUAGGCGCGAAAGCGUGGGGAUCAAACAGGAUUAGAUACCCUAGUAGUCC